RNAcentral lists this ribosomal RNA (112 nucleotides) under Caerostris darwini. Lineage: Eukaryota; Metazoa; Arthropoda; Arachnida; Araneae; Araneidae. The record is from RNAcentral.
AACGGCCGUACCGUGCUGAAUAUACCGGUUCUCGUUAGAUCACCGAAGUCAAGCAUCAUUGGGCUCGGUCAGUACUUGGGUGGGUGUCCACCUGGGAACACCGCGUGCCGUU